UAUGAAUUUAUCCAUGUGUGCAAUAUUUCUAUUAUCUGCAUUAUAUUAUUAGUAAAUAUAUAUUAUAUAUUAUCCAUAUUAUAUCUAUUAUAUUAUUUAUGGUUUAGGCAUUGUCUUGGGUACUGGAGACUCAAUAGUGAACCUAAAAGAUAAAUCCUUUCCCUUGUAGACUUCAGACUACUUGCAAGACAAGAUAAACUAUAUAGGGCAUGAACUGGUAUGUUCAAUGGAGAAAGAUCAGAGAAAGGGGAUGAAUAGUGGAGUGUGGAUGGUGAUUGUAGUCUUUAAAAGGUGGCAAGGAAAGGCCUUCUAAGAAGACAUGUGGAAGAUAGCCAUGCAGCCACCAGGGAAGAGGCUUCCAGAUGAUGCUGAGGCCGUGAGUAGUUCUGGAGAUUAGAAGUGUAAAAUCAGUUUCACUGAGCCAGAAUCAAGGAAGAAUUGACCCCCUAGACACACUUUGCCUCCCUUUAUGCCCCUUGUGAUUACAAGUAUAACUCACCCGAGCAACUCAGAACAUUCUGCUCAACCUCAAGAUCCUUAACAUAAUCACACCUACAAAGUCUCCCUCCACAUUUAAGGUAAGCUUCAAAGGUUCAGCGACGAGGACCUGGCUAUCUCGGGGCUGUUUCUUCAGCAUUUCGGAGUCCUAACCAUCUGUUAACUGAGCACAGCUCCGCGGCUCGGGCUUGGGUUUGGCUGGUUCUGAGGAAGACUCUUGAAUGACAGGACUUGCCCAGAGAUAUUCAAGCCACAGAUCUUACUUUUUUCUUACCCUUCUCCUUCCCAGGAAAAGGAGGAACUGACAGCAUUUGAGACCGGAGAGGCCGAGGCACUGAGUGCUAGGUGGCACAAGGGGCAAGACUAGAAUUCAAGGCCUCUGAUGCCCAAGACUUCCCAACAUUGUCUUCUCCCGCGUUCCCUCCAGGACCACCGCCUCCUUCUGGGCGGGGUCUUGGGCUGCUGUCUGCGCUGAGUGUCCAGCUCUCUCCUUGGGUCGCACUCACGAUCUUCCCGCAGAGACGGCCACACUGCGAUCUUGCAUGCAGCCAGCAGGGGUCAGCAUUGCCCGCACCAAGGGUCGUCCAGCUGCGGCGGGCGAGAGCCUGAGCUCAGCGACGUUUCU
Molecule: long non-coding RNA, 1123 nt
Organism: Heterocephalus glaber (naked mole-rat)
Lineage: Eukaryota; Metazoa; Chordata; Mammalia; Rodentia; Bathyergidae
Source: Ensembl